RNAcentral lists this ribosomal RNA (116 nucleotides) under Pteropus alecto (black flying fox). Lineage: Eukaryota; Metazoa; Chordata; Mammalia; Chiroptera; Pteropodidae. The record is from RNAcentral.
GUCCACGGCCAUGCCGCCCUGAACAAGCCUGAUGUCUGAUCUCGGAAGCUAAGCAGGGUCGGGCCUGGUCAGUACUUGGAUGAGAGACCACCUAGGAAGACCAGGUGCUGUAGGCG